This 449-nucleotide long non-coding RNA is filed under the name Capsella rubella. RNAcentral describes it as "long non-coding RNA (CRUB_LNC004958)". Lineage: Eukaryota; Viridiplantae; Streptophyta; Magnoliopsida; Brassicales; Brassicaceae. The record is from RNAcentral.
UGAAUAAUAUCAAUUAGAAAACUGAAUAGAGAAACAAAGGAGUAUUGAAAUCUUCUCUCUACAAGGAGUUCUGAUCUCUCUCUCUCCAGAAGCUCUCAAGGUUUUGCAAUAGAAUUCAGCCCCUUGUUUCUAAAACCUAAAAAGUACUUAAAUAUGUCCAAAACACGUCAGGGACCAAUGUUGCAACUUGGGAAAACUCUGAGCAACUUUUGUAAAUCUUCAAAAUUUGGAAAAACUCGAAAUCUCUCGUCAGGCACAUGGUGUCGAUCGACACUGGUAGGUGGUGUCGAUCGACACUCCUUCACAGAACGUCUCCAAGACAGGUUACUCGGCUCCUUUGCUCCAAUAAGCUCCAAAUCACUCCAUUUUGAUCCAAUCAUUGUGAAAUAACUCCUACACCUGAAAAGACUCCAAAAGACCCUAAAAAGUAUAGAAAGACUCGAUAAAAA